CGCCCCAUAGCCCACGGAUUCAUCGUUGAUCCACGUGCCCUCGUGCCGUGCCGUGAUGCUGGCGUCCUCGCGCAACACACGCGGCGGUGCCGCAUACAGGCAGGCGCCGUUCAUGCGGCCGUCGCUCCACUGGCCCAUGUAGAGACAGCCGUCGGCCGACACGUGGAUGCCCCAUCCGUGGGGUCGGUUGGCCCACCACUGGCCGCGAUAGACACCGCCUCUCGGGUAAAAGACGGUCCCAUGGCCGCAGCGGUCGCCGUCGACCCAUUCGCACGCAUAGCGUCGGCCCGACACGGUGCAAUCGAGCACGCCAUAGCCAUUCUCGUCGCCGCGUGCCCACCCGCCCUCGUAGCGACUGCCGUCGGCAUAGGUGUAGACGCCGUGACCGUGUUCGCGGUCUCUCUGCCACUCACCGUCAUAGGCAUCACCGGCGGUCCACACGCACCGGCCGCGCCCAUGGCGCAGGCCACAGUCCCAGUCGCCCGUGUAGGUCCAAUGGGUCGUGCUACGCCAGCCGUGGCCGUGUGCAAACCCGCCCUCCCAGAGGCCCUCGUGGCGUGAACCGUCGCGGUACGUGCGCGCGCCUUGGCCGCACAUGCGCCCCGCGCGCCACUGACCCUCAUAGUGGGCGCCCACUGACUGAUCGCUGUCGCACCGACGUCGCCGUGCCGUGGAGCCAUCGCGAUGAUGUGUGGGCAGGCUCAGGGCCAAGCCAUAACCAUCAGGCAGGCCGCCGACGAGGUCGCCCCAAUAGAUACGACCGAGGUGGAUCGUGGCGCCCACCUGGGUCGUGAGCGUGCCCGUGCAGGCCUGUGCGCGAUAGAGCCAGCGCCAGUCUUUGCCCGCCUCUAAAAACCCGCGAUGGAGAGGCGCGCCAAAGCGCCUCAUGCAGAGGGCGCGCCACACUGUGCCAUCCGUCGCGAGGUCGCGGUAGCGCCGCGCCGUCGACGACAAGUUGACGAGGCUGAAUGCAUCGUCUAGAACAGACAUGAUCAUCAGCACCAAUUCAUCGGGCAAUGUGUCAAACAAGUCGAUCCCAUUUGUGUCGUCUGCCCGGUCGGCCUCGGGAGACGCCCUCGUUGCCAUCAUGCGCGCUUUUUCCGUGGGCGCCGCCGCUUUCACCCCCUGCACUCGCCUGGUGGCGGUGCCACCAUGUCCCCGGCGAGAAAAACAAAGACAUGGACCGCCAUCGCCCCAUGUCGCAAAGUUUGUUCCCCCCCCCCCACCUGGUCGCACAAGACGGAUGAAAAC
Molecule: long non-coding RNA, 1251 nt
Filed under: Pandoravirus quercus
Description: hypothetical ncRNA
Source: RNAcentral